UACGGAGGGGACUAGCGUUGUUCGGAAUUACUGGGCGUAAAGAGCGUGUAGGCGGGUAUGCAAGUUUGGCGUGAAAGCUCCCGGCUAAACUGGGAGAGUGCGCUGAAGACUGCGUAUCUAGAGGCGAGUAGAGGGACGUGGAAUUCCGGGUGUAGUGGUGAAAUGCGUAGAGAUCCGGAGGAACACCAGUGGCGAAGGCGACGUCCUGGGCUUGACCUGACGCUGAGACGCGACAGCACGGGGAGCGAACGGG
RNAcentral lists this ribosomal RNA (253 nucleotides) under uncultured bacterium. RNAcentral's name for it is "partial 16S ribosomal RNA". It matches the Rfam family "Bacterial small subunit ribosomal RNA", at positions 524 to 776 of the family's 1533-position model. The record is from RNAcentral.